UCUAAACUGCCUUUCUUCUUCUAAAGACUCUAAAUAGCUAAAGUACUCUUGUUCUUUACCCUAUUUGCAAAUGUGUGGAAAAUAUAUCUACAUCAUAACAAGAUGAACUAAGCAUGGGAGCAGAGGACUUAAUUUUUCCUCAUCUAUCACACAAAUACCUUAAGAAAACAGCAAGGAAGCUUCAAAUGCCCAGAUUCAGCUCUGCAUCAUGCACUUUAAUCAAGUCGUUUAUGUGACUCUAUAGAGAUGAGAACAUGCUGUCCUCCUCACGGCUUGCUUGUUUACGCAAAGAGAGUUAUGAGAAUAAUUUUGGUAGAAAACAGUUUAUGACUGGUUGGAUGAAGCACUGCCAGAGCUGGUGUUUGCAGUCCCUUUCCCUCAGCUGAGCUAGCUGGGAAGGAGCAACUCAUUCCAUUGUGAAGAUAUGCAGCCUCCAAAGCAAAGCACAGGCAAGGCCUGACUGCUCAGAGAUGGACUGUGAAGGAAUUGAAUCUUCUGAGCAUUGCACUGAGUGUCUUCCAGAGGUGGGUGGGAAGCAAAGCCACCAAAGAGGCACUGCAGGAAAGAGAAGAGGAGGCAGGAUAAGCAGACAGCACAUCCCCACAAGAAGCUAAGGUGCUAUGCUAUCACUACAGGACCAUUCUGGAAGCACAGAAGGAGCCUUCUCAGAAGCUUUAACUGAUACAGGAUAUGGCUGCUUACUUUAUUACAGGGCAGAGAAGAAUAAAUUAAAAAGGACAAAUUGCAUGUGUUCUUCACACUUUGCAUGAGCUGCCAAAAGCAUGCUGGCCUGAGUACAUUGAUGCCUGGCUUUCUUCAAGAAAAGCGAAUUAGGGACAUUUUCACUAAUUUGAGAAAAGUAACUCUGUAAGCAAAGCACUGCACCUCUUGAUACAGCUCACCCCUGUGUCCUAUAAAACUAGGGAACUUGGAGAACCAGAAACUCUG
Long non-coding RNA from Centrocercus urophasianus (Greater sage-grouse), 948 nucleotides. RefSeq lists it as uncharacterized. The record is from RefSeq and is a predicted model, not a curated record. The transcript has 3 exons. Lineage: Eukaryota; Metazoa; Chordata; Aves; Galliformes; Phasianidae.